UUGUUGGAGAGUUUGAUCCUGGCUCAGGACGAACGCUGGCGGCGUGCUUAACACAUGCAAGUCGAGCGGAAAGGCCCUUCGGGGUACUCGAGCGGCGAACGGGUGAGUAACACGUGAGCAACCUGCCCCAGGCUUUGGGAUAACCCCGGGAAACCGGGGCUAAUACCGAAUAUGACCUCCGAUCGCAUGGUCGGUGGUGGAAAGUUUUUCGGCUUGGGAUGGGCUCGCGGCCUAUCAGCUUGUUGGUGGGGUGAUGGCCUACCAAGGCGACGACGGGUAGCCGGCCUGAGAGGGCGACCGGCCACACUGGGACUGAGACACGGCCCAGACUCCUACGGGAGGCAGCAGUGGGGAAUAUUGCACAAUGGGCGGAAGCCUGAUGCAGCGACGCCGCGUGAGGGAUGACGGCCUUCGGGUUGUAAACCUCUUUCAGCAGGGACGAAGCGUAAGUGACGGUACCUGCAGAAGAAGCGCCGGCCAACUACGUGCCAGCAGCCGCGGUAAGACGUAGGGCGCGAGCGUUGUCCGGAUUUAUUGGGCGUAAAGAGCUCGUAGGCGGCUUGUCGCGUCGACCGUGAAAACCUGGGGCUCAACCCCAGGCCUGCGGUCGAUACGGGCAGGCUAGAGUUCGGUAGGGGAGACUGGAAUUCCUGGUGUAGCGGUGAAAUGCGCAGAUAUCAGGAGGAACACCGGUGGCGAAGGCGGGUCUCUGGGCCGAUACUGACGCUGAGGAGCGAAAGCG
RNAcentral lists this ribosomal RNA (742 nucleotides) under Micromonospora sp. C41. RNAcentral's name for it is "bacterial SSU rRNA". It matches the Rfam family "Bacterial small subunit ribosomal RNA", at positions 1 to 761 of the family's 1533-position model. The record is from RNAcentral. Lineage: Bacteria; Bacillati; Actinomycetota; Actinomycetes; Micromonosporales; Micromonosporaceae.